This 1154-nucleotide ribosomal RNA is filed under the name Methanosarcina mazei. Its description in RNAcentral is "bacterial SSU rRNA". It matches the Rfam family "Archaeal small subunit ribosomal RNA", at positions 61 to 1217 of the family's 1478-position model. The record is from RNAcentral. Lineage: Archaea; Methanobacteriati; Methanobacteriota; Methanomicrobia; Methanosarcinales; Methanosarcinaceae.
UAUGUAGCAAUACAUGGCGUACUGCUCAGUAACACGUGGAUAACCUGCCCUUGGGACCGGCAUAACCCCGGGAAACUGGGGAUAAUUCCGGAUAACGCAUAUUUGCUGGAAUGCUUUAUGCGUCAAAAGGAUUCGUCUGCCCAAGGAUGGGUCUGCGGCCUAUCAGGUAGUAGUGGGUGUAAUGUACCUACUAGCCAGCGACGGGUACGGGUUGUGAGAGCAAGAGCCCGGAGAUGGAUUCUGAGACAUGAAUCCAGGCCCUACGGGGCGCAGCAGGCGCGAAAACUUUACAAUGCGGGAAACCGUGAUAAGGGGACACACGAGUGCCAGCAUCAUAUGCUGGCUGUCCGAUGUGUAAAAUACAUCCGUUAGCAAGGGCCGGGCAAGACCGGUGCCAGCCGCCGCGGUAACACCGGCGGCCCGAGUGGUGAUCGUGAUUAUUGGGUCUAAAGGGUCCGUAGCCGGUUUGGUCAGUCCUCCGGGAAAUCUGAUAGCUCAACUAUUAGGCUUUCGGGGGAUACUGCCAGACUUGGAACCGGGAGAGGUAAGAGGUACUACAGGGGUAGGAGUGAAAUCUUGUAAUCCCUGUGGGACCACCUGUGGCGAAGGCGUCUUACCAGAACGGGUUCGACGGUGAGGGACGAAAGCUGGGGGCACGAACCGGAUUAGAUACCCGGGUAGUCCCAGCCGUAAACGAUGCUCGCUAGGUGUCAGGCAUGGCGCGACCGUGUCUGGUGCCGCAGGGAAGCCGUGAAGCGAGCCACCUGGGAAGUACGGCCGCAAGGCUGAAACUUAAAGGAAUUGGCGGGGGGAGCACAACAACGGGUGGAGCCUGCGGUUUAAUUGGACUCAACGCCGGACAACUCACCGGGGGCGACAGCAAUAUGUAGGCCAAGCUGAAGACUUUGCCUGAAUCGCUGAGAGGAGGUGCAUGGCCGUCGCCAGUUCGUACUGUGAAGCAUCCUGUUAAGUCAGGCAACGAGCGAGACCCGUGCCCACUGUUACCAGCAUGUCCUCCGGGACGAUGGGUACUCUGUGGGGACCGCCGAUGUUAAAUCGGAGGAAGGUGCGGGCCACGGUAGGUCAGAUCGCCCCGAAUCUCCCGGGCUACACGCGGGCUACAAUGGAUGGGACAAUGGGUCCUCCCCUGAAGU